Molecule: non-coding RNA, 2821 nt
Organism: Doryrhamphus excisus (bluestripe pipefish)
Lineage: Eukaryota; Metazoa; Chordata; Actinopteri; Syngnathiformes; Syngnathidae
Source: RefSeq, a predicted model, not a curated record
AAUGGUAAUCUGACGCUGUCAGAUGCAAACAGAUGCUAGCUGAUGCUAACAGCUGCUAAAUGAUGCUAUCAGGUGCUCACUGAUGCUAUCAGAUGCUAACAGACACUAGCUGAUGCAAACAGACGCCAUACCGACGACUUUCCCUCUGAGCGGAGACAAAGUCUGUCUGUUGGAGUUGAUGGUGUCACCAGAACUUAGCGGUCGAUAGCAGUGAAGGUCUGACUCUGGGCCUGCUGGGGUUGAAGGUGUCACGGAUCUCAGUCUCCAGGUAGACACCGGGCACCUUGAAGAUGGAGACGGCUGCAAAGGCACAUGAAGGUGACUCGGAAUGUGAAAUGAGCAGCACGUCCACGACGGAAUUGGCUCUUACUGUCCCUCAGGUGCAUGACGGGCUGCGGCAGCACGCUAAAGUACGGGUGGUGCAGGGCGUCCGCCGCUGACAUCCGGUCUGCGGGCGCCAACAUCAGCAUCUUCUGGACAAGAUCUUCGGUUUUAUAUGGAAGUUGGUUUAACCUGAUGAAGAGAUAAUAACUUUAUUGUUAGCAUGAUUUAAACACUUUAGCAUCCGCCUGCUCCUUUUCUCACCUUUUCCAGACGCAGCGAAUCGGCUUGGACUCGGAUGGAAGAGACCAGUCUGGAACAAAAAGGACCACAACAUGACCUCCUCAUUCAUGCUGUCAUGUGACAUGUCAAUCAUCAUGGCACCUCUUGUAAAGGCGUGUCUGACCUGGUUGAUAAUUGGGGAGUCGGGUCAGUCCAGGCCAGUUGUCCUCUGACGGGGCGCCAAGAACCUGCAGGGUCAGGUCAUGAGUGAUAAGGGUGGGGGGGCUUGGUAGCUUCUGAGUUUCGGAGAUAAUGGUACCAACCGUCCAGAUUUUCCGCAGCUGGUCAAACACAUCAGUGAGUCCGGGGAAUGCCGGCGCCCCCUGGAGCAUCUCCACAAAGAUGCACCCGGCUCCCCUGACACACAUCGAAAUGAUAUCAAGCUCAAGUCUGUGUUCCACGUCGCACCUGAAGCACACGUACCAGAUGUCCAGAGCUGUGGAAUAAUCUGUAGAACCCAGCAGAACAUCCGGGGGCCGGUACCAUAGCGUAACUACAUCUGAUGAGAAACUCUGACAGGGGACAGACUUGGAGCGGGCCAGACCUGCAUGAAGAAUCUGUUAGAAUCUGCGGCAAUAAGCACGGCCUGCAUGAAGGAACCUACCAAAAUCAGCCAGUUUGAGUUCUCCCAAGUAGCUGAUGAGCAGGUUCUGAGGCUUCAGGUCGCGGUGGAGGAUCUGGCGACCGUGGAUGAAGUUCAGGCCCCGCAACAGCUGGAACAUGAAGAUCUACAAGGAAAGAAUGUUCUGUACUUGACAGUUCCUCACUUUAUGUACGCGUUCCAGUCCGACGUCGGCGGCCAUGACACCUUAAUGACGGCUACGUGAAGCACAACGUACAUGGAGGCCAUACCACCUUCUUCCUCCUACGUAUCCUACUACCUAGUUCCUUCUUUGUAUCUUACCUCCUACACUCUAAAACCUGGUAUUCUUAGGUAUUGGGUGAGGACUCGUACCCGUACGUUGUGAGAGUGCAGACCGCCCGGAUGCUGGUUCAUGUACUGGGCCAGGUCCGUCUGCUGCAGCGACACAACACCUCACCAUGAACCAAUCCAUCCAUCUCAGAGUCAUGUGACCUGCCGCUGAAGACCACCUUACGUAUGUCUCACCACAUAUUCGAAGACGAAGCGCCACCAGCUGCCCGUUAAUCCUGGAUACAAAUUCAUCAUCAUCAUCAUCAUGUCGUGAUGACAUCAUACACCAUGUGACCUGUCACCUGCUGAUGCCUUUGUAAACGGACGCGUAUGAGCCUUCACCGAGUUUCUCCAGACUCACCCAAACCCAGAUGGAGAGAUCCUGGCAGCUCUUCCUGCUCCACGGGUCGCUGUUACUACGCCCUCGCUGCACCCGAAGGCGUCGCAUCUGCAGCGUGUGGAACCAGUGGGGAUCCCUGCCAGGAACAUCCUGGUCCAACUGGGCCCGGAAGACACAAAACAAUCCAUGAUUAAUCAAUGAACUCGGGUCGGCUAUCCUUUAGAUAACUAUAGGGGUGUUAUGUCAUGUCCAGAGGGCUCUAAUGAUGUUAAAAAGUGUAUUUAGAAGGUGGUAAACAGGUUUAUUAUGCCUAAUAUGUCGUAUUUUCUCUUAUGAUGUCUACUACAUUGGGUAAUAUGAGUGUAAAGGUGACUAUAGGGGUGUUAUAUCAUGUCCAGGGGGCUCUAAUGAUGUUAAAAAGUGUAUUUAGAAGGUGGUAAACAGGUUUAUUAUGCUUAAUAUGUCUCAUUUUCUCCUAUGAUGUCUACUACAUUGGGCGAUAGUAGUGUAAAGGUGACUAUAGGGGUGUUAUAUCAUGUCCACAGGGCUCUAAUGAUGUUAAAAAAGUGUAUUUAGAAGGUGGUAAAUAUGUUUAUUAUGCUUAAUAUGUCUCAUUUUCUCCUAUGAUGUCUACUAUAUUGGGUGAUAGGAGUGUAAAGGUGACUAUAGGGGUGUUAUGUCAUAUCCAGAGGGCUCUAAUGAUGUUAAAAAGUGUAUUUAGAAGGUGGUAAACAGGUUUAUUAUGCCUAAUAUGUCUUAUUUUCUCUUAUGAUGUCUACCAUAUUGGCUAAUAGAAGUAUACAGGUGACUAUAGGGGUGUUAUGUCAUGUCCAGAGGACUCUAAUGAUGUUAAAAAGUGUAUUUAGUAGGUGGUAAACAGGUUUAUUAUGCCUAAUAUGUCUUAUUUUCUCUUAUGAUGUCUACUAUAUUGGGUAAUAGGAGUGUAAAUGUGACUAUAGGGGUGU